This 418-nucleotide ribosomal RNA is filed under the name Alcaligenaceae bacterium HU-1. RNAcentral describes it as "bacterial SSU rRNA". It matches the Rfam family "Bacterial small subunit ribosomal RNA", at positions 30 to 446 of the family's 1533-position model. Lineage: Bacteria; Pseudomonadati; Pseudomonadota; Betaproteobacteria; Burkholderiales; Alcaligenaceae. The record is from RNAcentral.
AUUGAACGCUAGCGGGAUGCCUUACACAUGCAAGUCGAACGGCAGCGGGUCCUUCGGGAUGCCGGCGAGUGGCGAACGGGUGAGUAAUGUAUCGGAACGUGCCCAGUAGCGGGGGAUAACUACGCGAAAGCGUGGCUAAUACCGCAUACGCCCUUAGGGGGAAAGGCGGGGAUCCUUCGGGACCUGUCACUAUUGGAGCGGCCGAUAUCGGAUUAGCUGGUUGGUGGGGUAAUGGCCUACCAAGGCGACGAUCCGUAGCUGGUUUGAGAGGACGACCUGCCACACUGGGACUGAGACACGGCCCAGACUCCUACGGGAGGCAGCAGUGGGGAAUUUUGGACAAUGGGGGCAACCCUGAUCCAGCCAUCCCGCGUGUGCGAUGAAGGCCUUCGGGUUGUAAAGCACCUUUGGCAGGGAA